Molecule: long non-coding RNA, 548 nt
Filed under: Homo sapiens (human)
Lineage: Eukaryota; Metazoa; Chordata; Mammalia; Primates; Hominidae
Description: non-protein coding lnc-ZNF500-3:1
Source: RNAcentral
AGCACAGGCCAGGUGCAGUGGCUCACGCCUAUAUUUCCAGGACUUUGAGAGGCUGAGGCGGGCGGAUCACCUGAGGGCAAGCACUGUGCUUAGUGACCCAGAGCCUGGAGAAGCUGCAGGUGCUGAACGGGAAGAAGUGGCGGGAGACCUAGCCUGCGGGCCGAAUCUGACGUUGGGUGAUUGGUCCACCCUGAAGCUGUGUGCCAGGGAGUGAGGAGGACAGUGAGCAGGUAGCUGCCAUGUGCAGCCCAGGCCCAGUGGGGGCCAGAGGAUCAGGCCCCGGGAGCAGCCGGCAGACAGAGGCAAGACGGGGGCUGCGGCCCUGGCUCGGCAGCUCGGGCCAGCACUGAGGCGGGACGAGGGCCUCACCCAGAACCUCGUGGUGAGGCCCAGAGUUCAUGGGCUGCCCUGGCCCAUACCAGGCAGGGCCCUGGGGGGAAAGUGUAUCCAUAUACACGCACAGGUGCCAACUGAGGUGGGACCUUAGGAAUGAGGACUGGGGCACCUGGAAAAUGCCAUUUUUUGGAAAAUAAAAUUUAAGAACAGCU